RNAcentral lists this long non-coding RNA (7324 nucleotides) under Gallus gallus (chicken). Lineage: Eukaryota; Metazoa; Chordata; Aves; Galliformes; Phasianidae. The record is from RNAcentral.
CUUCACCUGGAGACCCUUCCCGAAGCCCUGUGGAAGGGAGUUGGCCGCAGGAGAACAACAUCAAUAAUAAAACCCUCCCAGAAGUGCCCGGCUGAAGGUGCGGGGGGUGGUGAAGGGCUACCGCCACUGACUGAAGCAGGAGACAUCGACAGGGAGGUGACAGCCGCUGGAAGCGCACAGCUCCUCUGUGCGCAUAGCCGGCUGCGCUGUGACGGGGCAUUUUUAAAGCUCCCGACAGUGAAAAUGCCCCCCGCAUGAGUAGAUGAGCGAUUAUUAGCCUCCAGCCCUUGCCUCCAGCCUUUGAUGCGUGGUUCUGGCCCGCGGUUACCCACGCGGGUUGGGAGCAAGCAGGCAGGAGAGAUGCGCACAGCAUGCGCGGAUUGCACGGUGCCCCGAGGAGCUCGGACGGCUCCAGGGGGACGGAGUUAGCUGUCGCGGCGUAACGGGGGUGGUGUCCGUCGGUCCCAUGCCCUGUGGGUCCUGCUCCAAGCAGCAUCACCCUAACAGAGCCAAGUAGAGACCCGAGUGUACGCCCCAGGACAAGAAAAAGCUCAGCACCAUCUUGUUGGGUCUGUGAACAUCCCCGCCGGCAUGGCUCUAAGGAGAAACCGAGCAGUCCCCAAAAAACGGCGAGCACGAAACGAGCCCCGACACGGACAGCUCUGCGGCCACCCCGUCCGAACCGGGUCCCCCUCCAGUGCCCAGGAGCGGGCAGAGGGAAGCGGAGAGGGGAAAGAAACCCAGCCGAGAAAGCAUGCUAAAUCGCUCAGGGUAGGAAGGUGGAAAAUUACGCUGGCUCCUAGCCGGCCUGUCCUCCUCUACGCAGCCAGGAGAGCAAUUUUCCUAAGAAGUUGAGCAAAACGAAAUCAGCCCCUUUUGGAUCUGCAGCCCCCGUCUCUCCGCGGCACGGCCAAUCUCUGGCUCCGAGGGCGCUCAGUGCUCCCCCGGCCGCCCCCGUCACCCUCGGCCUCGCGGAGCCUCCCGAAGCCCCCCGCUACUCCCCGAGCUUUGCUCGCGGGGCACCGCGCUCACCUCGUGCUGGCCGGCCCUGCCCCACCGCUAUUCAAACCCAGUGGGUAAAGCACAAUUUUCGGGGGGAAACUGAUUUUUUUUUUUUUUUUUUCCAGGGAGGGGGAAACGAAAUGUUUUGGUGGCAUUCGGCCCGUGACAGCCGGCGCAUCCCGGUGCCUCCCGGAGCCCCUCUGCACUUGGACCCCCACCGGCCCGGAGCUGCCCAAGGCGCAGGCGGCCAACGGCAGCGCUUCCAAAAAGUCGGGAUGAAAAAGUUGAAGGCUUAAUGUUUUCUGACAGAUACAAAUGAUACCCCAAGGCUUUCUUAAAACGCGGCGAAUGACGGGAGGAGAAAGGGUUUUCCUAUUCGGGUUUCUGCAGCUGGAAGCAAACGGGGUGGGGGGUUCUCCUCGGCCCUCCUGUCCCGAAAAUUAAACCAUCUCCUGGAAUAACUCCGUUUUUCCCAAGUGCCAUUCGGCACAGCCCCACUCUGGCUCUGCUCCGUGGCCUUCUCCGCAUCCCUCAGACCACGAGCACCGAGCCAUGCUCCGAGCAAAUCCGAAACCGCUGUCAGCAGCCGCUCGGGUUUAGUCCUGGUUGUCCGCAGCCUGAACCGAGUGGGAUCAGCAAUGCCACCGCCAGAGGAUGGACAGCUCGGGGUGCGCGGGCUGCUUCUCUCGGUGGGGAGGGGGAAGGAAGGGGGAAAGUGCCACAUAGUCCCACAAUUCCCUCUCCGAGCAGUGGGAACAUGCUUUUCUUAUUAAUUGAUGGAGGAAGGGGCACCGGCGCUUGCAAGGCAGCCUGCUCAUGUUACUCUGUGCAUCUCCAGGUCCGAAAUGUGUUUGGUUUGUGGACUAAAAAAGAUGCCUCUCGUGCAGGGCAGUCCAAGGCCCGCGCGAUCCGUUGGCAUUUUAUUGUGAUCGUUCUUCUGCAGAAAAAGGGGCUGCGUUUGGUACCACCGAUGCUGCGUUUCCUUGUGGGUUUCCCUCACCUUGUUUCGGGCGAGCAACCUCUUAAUUGCUGCAGCGUUUGGAUGGGGGAAACGCAUUUCCCCUAAACAGAACAUUUCCUGAAGGGCUGAAAUAUUCUAAUAACGCGCUUUAAUGUCCUCAGAACAGCCGUGAAUCUCUGCAGGGCCACGCGUUUCCUGCCUUAAAAAGCAAAAUCGGCGAAACAAUUCACCUUUGUGUGCACUCAGCACCCUCUCUUCUAUUUUCUUUUCUUUCCCUCCCUUCUUCCCCUCCUCCCCCCUUUUUCUUAUUUUUCCUCCCAUAGAUGCUCUGCGCUGCCCCGCGAUGAGGAGCGGGGACGACUUUCUUUCCAGUUUCAUUGUGGGAACGGCCGUAUCUUAACGGGCACAUCUCAGCGAGAGAUAGGAGAACACCACCGCCUUCCAGAGGGCUGCGCUAAUCAGCGCACGGGGCAAGAUAUAAAAGUUCAGGGCAAAUAAAACGAAUUAGUUUUAUUAGCACGUUUAGGAGGCGGUCUAACGAAGGAAUUCGGCUUUACUAGAGAAUGUUUUCUCCACCCCUUCUGUUAUUUAAAAGCAGCAUCUAUGCGGGCUGAUCGGGACGGGGGGGUGGGGGAGAAAUAACGCACCGCUCAACCCGCAGUGAUUUUCUCCGAGGAACGCGCCAUUCUCUCCACCCGGUAAGGAGCACAGAGCCCGGGAAAUACACGAUUUCACAAUGCAAUCUGCUCGAACAAUAAAACCAGUAGUAAAGGAGAGGCUCGGGGCCGAUCAGCGGCGGCUGUCGGGGGGAAAUCUCUGCCCCGCUCAGGGAUUCGUUCGGCUGAACCGCGUCCGGGGAACGGUGCCACCGCUCCGGCUCGGGAUGUCCAGGACUCGGCCCGUAUUUCAGGCACCAGAAGGAUUUUGGGGACGUUCUCCAAGCGAAGCAGCUCUCAGCAAUUAUUUGGACGUCGGGUUUUAGCUCAGAGGCGCAGGGAACGCAUCCCUGGGUCUGGGAGGCAGAAAUUACGUAUUUUAAGACUGUUAGGAAAUAAUCAAACGGCGUCUCGGUCCUCGCUAUCCGCACUGGGGUACCUCGCUAGGCACAUUUUUUUUUUUUUUGUUCAAUUCGUGUCUCGGCGUUUGUGUUCGCCUACAGCGAGGUCGGCAAAACUUAAGGAAUAAGGACGAAAUGACAGAAAACGCUCCUAGGGACGAUUUUUUACGCGACACCUGAAAAUUCUCCUAAGGGUACCGUCGGGGAGGAACUCCGCGCGUCCAUUCAACGGAGUUAACACGAGGGAAUAGAAGCCUUUUUCCACCGCUCCGAGAAUUUCGCCUCCGUUGGACAGAGCGGAGUUGCGGGACAUCGCUGGAGCGUGGGGCUUCCUAAAGUUGCUAUUUGUUUCAGUUGGAGUAUGGCAGAAAUGGCAGCGCCCCGAAGGCAAGAGAUGAGACCCACAGAGCUGAGCACAUCCCCAGUCCGACAGCAGUGACCCUCCUGGCAGGGCAGGGAACUGGCAGCUGCUUUGGUCUGUGACAAAAGGAGCAUCAUGCUGGAAGCACGUAGUGCUCGAUAAGAUAUUCCUUCUGUAGACACAGAAAGGAAAUAACCUUGGAGGCCAGAGAUAUUCCUGGCAGCGGGACGUGGAGCUGUUUGCACUACUGAUGCUGUGCUCUUGUACUCUUACUAAAUGGAGCAGAGCAAUUCCCAUUGCUCUCAACCUGGAUUCCGUUGCCAGCGCGCAGUUCACUUGGAAAGCUCUGGUCUGAUCACACACAUUCAGCACAUGCUUUUAUAAGUGGUUUCCAGCACUCUCCAUAGAAAGAAGGGAAAGGGAUUAUGAUCCUGUGGAGACUUUGGAAAGAACUGAGCAUAACCUUGGUGUCCAGGCUGACAUUCAAGAUCUUCAAGGCUAUGAGCUCUGCUGCUCUUUUGCACUGCUCCAAGGCAGUGGACCAAACAAAGACAAUCAGAGGUGGCUGAACUUCUCGUUUCCAAAGGCAUCUCCCCACACAGGUCCAUCUUGUCAUCGGUACUUUGCUGAUUGCUCCCAGUGUGUGGAGAGCUCAUGCAUAAAAGCAACAUCUGUUUUUUUCUCCUUUUCUACCAUUUCAUUCCAUUCAAUGCAUUUUUUUUUUCUUCCUGAAAUGCUCCAAGACAGGAUUCCAAGCCUGACACGCUUGGAUUUUACUGGGUUCUUUGCACACGUCUCUGGCAACGGUCUGUAACCCUAAUUAUGAUGGUUAGCAGAAGUUCAGUACAACUGAACUCAGAGCUAAAGCCUCAGAGCUGCCUUUCCUACCUGAAACCAGGAUGUCAGGACUGCUCAAAUUGGGCAUGGCUGCUGAGGAACCCUGUUGGUGCUUCUCCAACGUCAGCCUGCUUCUCCAUGACCACCCCUUGGAAACCUGUUGAGCCACCAGGUCCACCAGACCCAGGCUGGGUUAAGUCAAAUGAAGCAUGAGACAAAACAGGGAGUUCCCUAUCAUUUUUCCCCAGGAGCCUUGGACACGUCCUGGGAGAAAGGUGAGAGCUUCCCUCUUGCAGAGUCAUGACAACAUGGUUCCUACCCCGUAGCAUUGGGUUCCAGAGCUGGAUUACUCAAACCUUCCCUUUUUUCAUAAUUUUCCAGUACACACUGCUGUCCUUGCAGGAAACAGGGCGGCAGUAGCUAUUGUAUCAGAGCUCACUAAAUCUUUCAGGAGUUCUGGGUGUUUGGGCUCAUGCCCCGAGGCGCAUUUCCAUCCCUGUUUCUGUUGCUGCUCUUUGGUUCUGCAGUAGCUCUGCCGAAUCCUUUUUCCAAUUUAGACUCCCGUUCCCAGGGGAAUUGCAUUGCGAUCCCCCCUUGCUUCCUUCUGGGAGUCUCUCUGUUUGAGCUUAGAACUUUGAAGGAAACAUGAGCAACAGCCAUAAAAUCUCCAUCUCCAUUGUCUCUGGAACGGCAGCGUGCAUGCAGCUGAUUGUGUAUCCAGGGCUCUGCGUCUCUGAAGCCUUGUUGCAAUGUGAUCUCUGUGCUGUCCCUUCCCGGAUGCUACGAUCAGCUCUGCCUUCCUUUGCAGGUUCAGCAGCUGAGGCUCUCGUGCCAGAGGACAGUCCAGGUUUUGAAGGUGUGGUUCUCAAGUUCACCAGAGCCUCAGGCCAGGCUGUGCUCAGAGCCUUGUUCCCUUUCCCACUGGACCAUCUGAUUACAAAUAACCGUGACUGGAUGUUGGAUGUCGAAAUCCAUAAUCCCCUGCAAAUUGUUUAAAGUCUUGUACAUUGAAAUGCAGACCAUUAUCAGACAGACCAAUUUAUGGGAUUCCAUGUCUGGCAAAUGCAAAUGCAAUGUAUCCUAUGACUUGUUUCGAUGUCAGAUUCUUUGUAUUAUUGGAUAAUAUUAUAUAGUUCCAGGCUCAUGUGAAUAAUAACCCCAAUUAAUAUGAUCUUUGCCAAAACAUAUAAAUAAGUCCAUUUUAGACAGCUCAAGUAUUUCCUUGUCAAGUUAUUUUAUUUUUAAGUCCCCCUUUUUACUUUACGAGUUACUUUUCUCUGCAUUAAUCCAUGAGCAGCACACUGCAUCACAGUCUCUCCUUUUAUUUUACUCUAAAUGGCAAAUGGGGAAUAGCACUUCCAUGCCCAAAAAUCCUUGCUGACGCUUGUGCUGGAGGACUUGGAUCAGACUUCGCACAGUUGUACAGUGCUGUGAGAGAGAUCUUCAAAUCUUUUUCCCUUUUGCUGGGAUAAACUUUACCAUACCUGAUAUGUGCAGUCUGCACAAAGUGUUGUGGUGCAGGUUUCCCCAGGCAAGACCUACACAGCCAACAGAGGGUCAACUGCAGCAGAGAUGGACAAUGUCUUGUUGCUCCAUUCUUCCUGGGCUCAGUGCUGCAUUAACAGGGCCAUUGUGCUUUGGGUACCCAAGUGACAGGCUAUGGGCAGUGGGACGUGUUUUACAGUUGUCUAUAUUUUGCUUGGAGCAAACUCACAGGUCUCAAAGUCCCUCAUUUUUCAGUGGAGACAUGUUAAGAUACUUAAAAUGCUGUUUGCAGUCAUUCGGCUCUAUUCACAAGCACUGUAGAUCUUUGGGGCUUUGUUUGGCAGGGGAUUGUGCUAAGUAUAAGGAUUUAUUACCUGUGUUGCACAUGCAUGCUAUUCCUUAUUCUACCAGUAAAUAAUGAGGAUGGAAGAACUGCAAUUUAAAUGCUCACUGAAAUUUGGUUCACGGUUUCUCAUUGGAUGGCUGAUCUUGGAAGAACCACUCAUUCCUAUGCUUAGGCAGCUGAACAGGGGGCAAGAGAUGGGCAUUACCAGGCGUCUGUGUUUGAAGAGGAAGAGUGCACAAACAUUUCCAUGAACUUUACUCUCACCUGGAGAAAAACACAGCUAGAAGGCAAAAAUGAAAGAGGAAAAUGGAGUCAAAAAUACUGCAAGUGUAACCCAGAGUAGUGCUGUAACAUCAAGGUGACUCAGAGCAGCUCUGGUUCAACAUGGGAGAAGCUGAGUGUGCUGAAAUGUGUUGGGUGCCUGUAGGGUUGUGCACGGGGGAGAGGGCCCCGGUCUUACAGCUCAUGGAGAGGGCAGAGGUGAGGAGACUGAUGGAACUGUGGCUCUACAAGAAAAAGUCCCCACUGUGGGAAGGGAUUGCUUUCCUCAAUAUCAAAACCAGCCCAGUCCUCCAGGGCUUGGCUGUGACUUUUUCUUGCUGUGGACUCAAGUAAUGCUUAGCUCCAUUGCUGGCGGGGGAGGGUAUAUUUUCAAACAGCAUUAGUGGAAAUUGUGAAUCAGGGCUUUCUGAAAACCCUGGAUCUGACAGCAUGAAGGUCAGGCCGCUGCAUGAUUUCCGUGGAAGCGUUCUCUUUUUCUGCCUGGAAAUUUCAGAUCGCUGGAAUUAGGGAAUGUGACAUAUUUAUCCAGGACUUCCAGCAUCUGGUGCCUGGUGGGAACAGCAGCUCUGCCUGGCUGCUGCUGAUGCAGACUCCUUCCGUCCGCAAAGCACCGGGUUCACCUUUGCAGCCCCAGGAUUGCCCAAUGCCACAGAGCAACCGACUCCGUGGGAAUGGCCAAUGCUUUUAGUCCUGUAGCUCACCAUUCGCUGCCACUGCCCACAGUGGGCUUCAUUCCCAGGUAAAUUCUCAAAGAGAAAGGGUUUCCACUUUUGCCUGCAGGCAGUAGCUCAGUCUGGGGGAGCUAAGCUGAAUCAAGCAAUCAAGGAUGAGAAGAAUACCGGUUUUGGGAGUACCGGUGAUAAAUUUAUGCUGCACUUGGCAGAAGGCUGUGAUGCUGCAUCCAACCACAAAUUGGCUCGGUGGGUGCUGAGCCAUGGAGCUUCCUCAGCCCUUUGGCUAUGUCCUCAUGAGCCUAUUUCAGCUCUGUUCUGA